UUGAGAAUAUUCUCGCUGCUCUGACUUUGUAAUAAUUAGGACAGACUAAACAUUCGCUAUAUUAAGACCAUACAUGUAUCCCCAGGCCUAGUUCUUUCCCUGUGUUUGGUUUUAUAAAUGUUCCUGAUAAAA
Oryctolagus cuniculus (rabbit) is the source of this 132-nucleotide small nucleolar RNA. Its record names the gene SNORA72. It matches the Rfam family "Small nucleolar RNA SNORA72". Rfam says of the family: U72 is a member of the H/ACA class of snoRNAs. The snoRNA gene is located in intron 4 of the ribosomal L30 protein gene in human, mouse and chicken. Lineage: Eukaryota; Metazoa; Chordata; Mammalia; Lagomorpha; Leporidae. The record is from Ensembl.